RNAcentral lists this ribosomal RNA (1781 nucleotides) under Salmonella enterica subsp. enterica serovar Virchow. RNAcentral describes it as "partial 23S ribosomal RNA". It matches the Rfam family "Bacterial large subunit ribosomal RNA", at positions 48 to 1773 of the family's 2925-position model. The record is from RNAcentral. Lineage: Bacteria; Pseudomonadati; Pseudomonadota; Gammaproteobacteria; Enterobacterales; Enterobacteriaceae.
GAUGAAGGGCGUGCUAAUCUGCGAUAAGCGCCGGUAAGGUGAUAUGAACCGUUAUAACCGGCGAUACCCGAAUGGGGAAACCCAGUGUGACUCGUCACACUAUCAUUAACUGAAUCCAUAGGUUAAUGAGGCGAACCGGGGGAACUGAAACAUCUAAGUACCCCGAGGAAAAGAAAUCAACCGAGAUUCCCCCAGUAGCGGCGAGCGAACGGGGAGGAGCCCAGAGCCUGAAUCAGCAUGUGUGUUAGUGGAAGCGUCUGGAAAGGCGCGCGAUACAGGGUGACAGCCCCGUACACAAAAGCGCAUGUGCUGUGAGCUCGAUGAGUAGGGCGGGACACGUGGUAUCCUGUCUGAAUAUGGGGGGACCAUCCUCCAAGGCUAAAUACUCCUGACUGACCGAUAGUGAACCAGUACCGUGAGGGAAAGGCGAAAAGAACCCCGGCGAGGGGAGUGAAAAAGAACCUGAAACCGUGUACGUACAAGCAGUGGGAGCCCCACCACCAAAGCAUUCUCUGGUGUUGAAGGCCCUGCAAAGCAGCAUCGCGGUGGCGGAGCGUCGUUUGCGACGCCCAACACACAAAACAAGCGGUGAGUGCUUUGGGGUGGGGUGACUGCGUACCUUUUGUAUAAUGGGUCAGCGACUUAUAUUCUGUAGCAAGGUUAACCGAAUAGGGGAGCCGGAGGGAAACCGAGUCUUAAUUGGGCGUUAAGUUGCAGGGUAUAGACCCGAAACCCGGUGAUCUAGCCAUGGGCAGGUUGAAGGUUGGGUAACACUAACUGGAGGACCGAACCGACUAAUGUUGAAAAAUUAGCGGAUGACCUGUGGCUGGGGGUGAAAGGCCAAUCAAACCGGGAGAUAGCUGGUUCUCCCCGAAAGCUAUUUAGGUAGCGCCUCGUGAAUUCAUCUCCGGGGGUAGAGCACUGUUUCGGCUAGGGGGCCAUCCCGGCUUACCAACCCGAUGCAAACUGCGAAUACCGGAGAAUGUUAUCACGGGAGACACACGGCGGGUGCUAACGUCCGUCGUGAAGAGGGAAACAACCCAGACCGCCAGCUAAGGUCCCAAAGUCAUGGUUAAGUGGGAAACGAUGUGGGAAGGCCCAGACAGCCAGGAUGUUGGCUUAGAAGCAGCCAUCAUUUAAAGAAAGCGUAAUAGCUCACUGGUCGAGUCGGCCUGCGCGGAAGAUGUAACGGGGCUAAACCAUGCACCGAAGCUGCGGCAGCGACACUGUGUGUUGUUGGGUAGGGGAGCGUUCUGUAAGCCUGUGAAGGUGGCCUGUGAGGGUUGCUGGAGGUAUCAGAAGUGCGAAUGCUGACAUAAGUAACGAUAAAGCGGGUGAAAAGCCCGCUCGCCGGAAGACCAAGGGUUCCUGUCCAACGUUAAUCGGGGCAGGGUGAGUCGACCCCUAAGGCGAGGCCGAAAGGCGUAGUCGAUGGGAAACGGGUUAAUAUUCCCGUACUUGGUGUUACUGCGAAGGGGGGACGGAGAAGGCUAUGUUGGCCGGGCGACGGUUGUCCCGGUUUAAGCGUGUAGGUGUGUGUUCCAGGUAAAUCCGGUUCACUUUAACACUGAGGCGUGACGACGAGGCACUACGGUGCUGAAGCAACAAAUGCCCUGCUUCCAGGAAAAGCCUCUAAGCAUCAGGUAACAUCAAAUCGUACCCCAAACCGACACAGGUGGUCAGGUAGAGAAUACCAAGGCGCUUGAGAGAACUCGGGUGAAGGAACUAGGCAAAAUGGUGCCGUAACUUCGGGAGAAGGCACGCUGACACGUAGGUGAAGU